AGAUUGAACGCUGGCGGCGUGCUUAACACAUGCAAGUCGAGCGGUAACAGGUGUAGCAAUACAUGCUGACGAGCGGCGAACGGGUGAGUAAUGCUUCGGAAUCUACCCAAUGGCGGGGAAUAACUAGCCGAAAGGUUAGCUAAUACCGCAUAAGCCCUACGGGGGAAAGCAGGGGAUCGUAAGACCUUGCACCGAUGGAUGAGCCGAAGUCGGAUUAGCUAGUUGGUAGGGUAACGGCCUACCAAGGCGACGAUCCGUAGCUGGUCUGAGAGGACGACCAGCCACACUGGGACUGAGACACGGCCCAGACUCCUACGGGAGGCAGCAGUGGGGGAAUAUUGGACAAUGGGGAAACCCUGAUCCAGCGACGCCGCGUGUGUGAAGAAGGCCUGCGGUUGUAAAGCUCUUUGUGCGGGAAGAUAAUGACGGUACCGCAAAGAAUAAGCCCGGCUAACUUCGUGCCAGCAGCCGCGGUAA
RNAcentral lists this ribosomal RNA (477 nucleotides) under uncultured bacterium. Its description in RNAcentral is "SSU rRNA". It matches the Rfam family "Bacterial small subunit ribosomal RNA", at positions 26 to 523 of the family's 1533-position model. The record is from RNAcentral.